This 460-nucleotide ribosomal RNA is filed under the name uncultured bacterium. RNAcentral describes it as "partial 16S ribosomal RNA". It matches the Rfam family "Bacterial small subunit ribosomal RNA", at positions 338 to 795 of the family's 1533-position model. The record is from RNAcentral.
CCUACGGGAGGCAGCAGUGAGGAAUAUUGGUCAAUGGUCGCAAGCCUGAACCAGCCACGUCGCGUGAGGGAUGACGGUCCUAUGGAUUGUAAACCUCUUUUGUCGGGGAGCAAGGCCCGCCAAGUGUGGCGGGAAGGAGAGUACCCGCAGAAAAAGCAUCGGCUAACUCCUUGCCAUCAGCCGCGGUAAUACGGAGGAUGCGAGCGUUAUCCGGAUUUAUUGGGUUUAAGGGGUGCGUAGGCGGAAGGUUAAGUCAGCGGUAAAAUGUCGGUGCUCAACACCGGCCUGCCGUUGAAACUGGUCUUCUUGAGUGAGCGAGAGGUAUGCGGAAUGCGUGGUGUAGCGGUGAAAUGCAUAGAUAUCACGCAGAACUCCGAUUGCGAAGGCAGCAAACCGGCGCUCAACUGACGCUGAGGUACGAAAGCGUGGGGAUCGAACAGGAUUAGAUACCCCAGUAGUC